UCCCCCCAUCGCACCCUUCCUCCCUCGUCCCCAGCUCCUCACCACCACCGCCACCCCUUGUCUCGACCUCUCCCUCACCCCUCUCUUCCCGUAGCCAGCGGCGGCGCCCUCCUUCCCUCGCGCUGCACCCGAACCUCGCUCCCGCUCCCAGCUCUUCUUCCUCCUCCACCACAGCUAGGGUUUCGUCUUCCCGAUCCCCAAUCCCCGAAGCUCGGAUCCAGCAGCAGCAAUAGCGAUGGUGGCCGCGGGAGAUCCUCUCCAAGGUCAAGCACGUCCAGGCCAAGCCUGCUGGCCGCCCUCGCGGGUGGCUGGCUCUGCGGCGACGACGGCGGCCUCGUCGUCCCCGGAGGCCACGAUGCCCCUCAAGGCCGACCUGGCGCCCUUGGCGCUCACGCCACUGGUGCGGGCCCUCGUUCACCACAUUGUAGAAGCUGGGCGCGCUCGUGCGGGACAAGGUGGUGCACGAGCACGAGGGGUGGAGACUCGUGACCUGCAUCUGGCUCCACGCCGGUGUCGUCCGCCUGCUCGCCAACAUGCUCAACCUCAUGCUCGUUGGGCUCAGGCUCGAGCAGCAGUUCAAAUUCGGUACAUUGAGAGUCGGCAUCAUCUACCUCGUGUCUGGCUUCGGGGGCAGCGUGAUGUAGUCCCUGUUCAUUAGAGACAAAAUCUCCGUGCACGCCUCCGGUGCGCUCUUUGGGCUGCUUGGAUUCAUGCUGUCAAAGCUCUUCACCAACUAGACCAUCUACACCAACAAGCACAUGGGUUCCAUGGGGGUACAACAGCAGGAGGACGACCAUGACUCCAUCAAGUGCAAGUUCCAGGUACUAAUCCCACUCAGCUCUUUCCAGUAGCGCAUCCAUUACUCAUACCCUUGCUGCCUCCAAAUCACGAGUGAUGAGAUAACGUCAUGGAGAGUGGGAAUUUUUGUUUCCUAGCUUAGAAAUUGAGUUAAAGCCAUGUCAUGGAAAGCUCCUCCUAUUUAGUUGAACCAUAUAUAGUUCAACUAAAUAACUAAGCUCAAACACAAACAUGCCUUUUUCAUCAUUGAGCAAAAACUGAGUUGCAUGCGAUUGCUAGGUACUAGUAGUUUAGUUGUAUUCGAGAUGCGAUACACUAAAGGUUAAUUAUACAUAUCCACACAGCAAGUAUACAUUAUUGUAGUAUACAUUUCACAUAUGUGUCUUAUCUUUGAAGCUCUACAAUAUUCAUGUGUAUAUUAUAAUGUACCGAAUGAGGCACUAUGAUUCUGAAUUCUUAGGUUUGAUUCAUGUGUAUACAAUAAUUUACCGAAUAAGCAAACUUAUGUGAAUAUACUACGCUUGAUGUUGAUCAUCUGGUGGAUUAGUAUGCAGUUCUCACUGUUAGUUCUUCUUUUCUUGAUUCAUUUAUACUAUAUGAUUCAGGUUUUAUACUUUGCUAGUAGGUAGCUCAUACUGCCCGCUGUGCAAAUUGUGUAGAGGCUAGAUCCUAGACAUGCAAGCUGUUGUUCUUUAUGGGUGUACCAUGCUAUUGAAUUUACAGUUUGAACACAGAUGGAUGAGUUAUUUAUGCUUAUCACUUUCUUCUUUGUCGUUCACUUGCAAUGCCUAUUGUACUAAUAAGCAAGGUCAAGCAUGGAGGUUUCAAGAGCAUCCCUUCGUCCUGGUAAUGUUUUUUUGUUCCUUCUUAGUCCGCUUGAGUGGAUCCUCUGAAUCAAAUCACGUGUCCUUUGUUCAUCUUAAUUAGAACAUUUGGCCAUUUGCAAAUUAUUGUUUUGUUAAUUGUAGGUUAUCUUUCUGGUUUGCCUGACAAAACUCCACAGUUUGUUGGCUUUGGGACAAAACAAGAUCCGAUUCCUCUCUAGGUUCAGCGCCAAUGAUCUCACUUUGGGGUGUGCUAUUGCUACGGUGCCCGCAUUUGCUUCCAUUUCUUCUCACAAGCAUAUGCACCUGCACGUCUAGUCUGUGGGUGACCGAGGAAGGCAUGUCGCUGUUUUGUUUGUUCCCAGCCCUGACUAUGGUUGUCCAACGAGUCUGCAUGUUGUUCAUCUAACUAUAGUCGUCCAACGAGCUUGGCAUGUUGUUCAUGACGGGAGCAGGUGCCUAGUUUGUGAUUUCUAUGGAAGGAGUUUGUAAAGCUUGUAGAGCUUGUAAAGUAUUGUAUUACACUUGUAGUUGUUACUGUGAUUGCCAUUGUAUUACAUGAUCUAGUGUGAUUGCCAUUGUAUUACAUGAUCUAGUUUCUCUUACGUGAAGUAUCAUGUGUGUUUCA
Triticum aestivum (bread wheat) is the source of this 2250-nucleotide long non-coding RNA. RefSeq lists it as uncharacterized. The record is from RefSeq and is a predicted model, not a curated record. NCBI's taxonomy places the organism in Eukaryota, Viridiplantae, Streptophyta, Magnoliopsida, Poales, Poaceae. The transcript has 6 exons.